Molecule: non-coding RNA, 85 nt
Organism: Caenorhabditis remanei
Lineage: Eukaryota; Metazoa; Nematoda; Chromadorea; Rhabditida; Rhabditidae
Source: Rfam
AUACCAUUUGGGUGGACACGGACGUAAAAAGCUAUGCCCGUGGUUAGGUAUUUAGCUUUGUACUCCGAUGCCAUUCAAAUGGUUG